CCCUUAGAUGUUCUGGGCGGCCCGCGCACUACAAUGGCGUGUGCAGCGAGUGCCGAAGUAGAGUUUUCCGAGGUAUUCUUGCAAUGCUCGUUUUGAUGGGGAUAGACCCUUGCAACUGUUGGUUUUGAACGAGGAAUUCCUUGUAAGCAUGGUUUAUCAUCCGACGCUGAAUGCGUCCCUGCCCUUUGUACACACCUCCCGUCGCUCCUACCGAUGAGUCGUCCGGUGAAGUUCGUAGACCUCGUGAUCGCGGAUCACUGGGGGAAGCAAAAUGAACCUCGCGGUUUAGAGGAAGGAGAAGUCGUAACA
This 309-nucleotide ribosomal RNA is filed under the name uncultured eukaryote. Its description in RNAcentral is "partial 18S ribosomal RNA". It matches the Rfam family "Eukaryotic small subunit ribosomal RNA", at positions 1470 to 1796 of the family's 1831-position model. The record is from RNAcentral.